AACAUUUCAUUAUUUCAUGUGCUAUUAUAUUUUAUAUUAUGAGCGUAAGCAAUAUUAUUAAUAUUUAGCAACUCUACUGUUGUUUGUUUACUAGUGGUAAACAUAUGUUCGCCAAUGGAUAUUGCUUAUUUAUACACAUGGGCUUGCGAGUGUUUUUUUUUAUUGUUUUGUUUUUUGUUUUGUUGAGGGAAAGCAUUUUGUAUUAAGUCUUGUUUGAUUGUUUAAAGACAUUUUAUCAUCGACUGUUGACUUUCUUGAUUAAGUUGGUGAUGACUUCUCAAGUGACGACAUUUUUAAGGAUGUACUUAUACCACCCCCUAAGAAACUUCGAAGCGAAAAGUAUUUGAAGAUGGUCCGACUGUGAAGAAAGCUUGUAUAGAAGCCGCGUACUAGAAUAAGACAAUUUUCCAGCCAAACUUCUACUUUGAUUUCGAAAAAGUUUGUAUUGUUUUGAUUUAUUUAUCUAUGUACUGGUUCAGUAAAAGACGUGAGUGUAAGUAGUUCCUUGAUUUGUGUUAUUUGUUCGUAGCCACAAAAAUUUUCAACUUUUUAUAAACAUUGUUUUUUUUAUCAGAUGAAUGGCGAUAAAAAACAAAUAACCAUUGGUAAAUGUGUAACUUGUAGCAAAAGAAUUCGUGGUUUUGAAAAUGUGUCUUCCAAUUUCAUUACGCAUCUUAAAUUUAAACAUGCGGACAUAUACAUUAAGUUUAAAAUUUUGUAGUCAGACUAUCAUGGCUCGCCCAAAAAUAAUUUUGACGACAGCGUUUUAGAUUUCAUUGUUGAUUCAGCAUCGCCUGUUUUUGUUGUGGACAGACCAUCCUUUGAACGUAUGUUUGAAGGCACUGGUAGAAGAAUUAUGUGCAGGCAAACUGCAAUGAAAAAAUUGGAAACACGUUAUGAAAACAUGCUGACCAAAAUAAAAGCAUAUAUACAAAUGCGGAUAUUUGGUCUGGAAACCACGAAAGCUUUUUUGGUUACACUUGCCAUUGGUUAACACAGGACUUCGAACGGAAAUCAGCGGCAUUGGCGUGCAAACGGCUUUUUGGAAAAUAUACCGCUGAUCGGAUCUAUGACACAAUACGUGAUAUAAAUAGUGACUUUGGCCUUAGUGGCAGAAGUAUGACUUGUUAAAAUAAGCUUCGCUCUACUUUAAUACGUCUCUGACAUCUUCAGCGCCUGUGGAGAGAUUGUUCUCUUUCCGUUCCCACGACAGUCGGGUCUACGAAAACCGGAACGGAUCCGGAUUUUUAUCCGGGCAAGGACUGUCAACUCGGCAGAGUAGUAGUAGUUAAAUAAUUACGGGGAGAGGACACGGGAUCUCGAAAAAGUAUGAAUGAUUGAUCAUGGUACACCACUUCAGCCCUGGAAGGAACGUUGGUUGUUCUCUGUCGUGAAGUAGCGUUGUAUGUGUUAAAGACUUUCGAUGAAACCAACGCUACGGGGAUUAUUCUGUUGUUGUUAUGGUAGCUAUCUUAACCAUUUGAGCUGCAAAAUUGCCAUAAAUUGUUAUUGAGAUUAU
Molecule: long non-coding RNA, 1519 nt
Organism: Bactrocera latifrons
Lineage: Eukaryota; Metazoa; Arthropoda; Insecta; Diptera; Tephritidae
Exons: 2
Source: RefSeq, a predicted model, not a curated record